This 253-nucleotide ribosomal RNA is filed under the name uncultured bacterium. RNAcentral's name for it is "partial 16S ribosomal RNA". It matches the Rfam family "Bacterial small subunit ribosomal RNA", at positions 524 to 776 of the family's 1533-position model. The record is from RNAcentral.
UACGUAGGGUGCGAGCGUUGUCCGGAUUUAUUGGGCGUAAAGAGCUCGUAGGCGGUUUGUCGCGUCGGCCGUGAAAUCUCCACGCUUAACGUGGAGCGUGCGGUCGAUACGGGCAGACUUGAGUUCGGUAGGGGAGACUGGAAUUCCUGGUGUAGCGGUGAAAUGCGCAGAUAUCGGGAGGAACACCUGUGGCGAAGGCGGCCGACUGGGCCGACCCUGACGCUGAGGCGCGAAGGCGUGGGGAGCGAACGGG